UGUGGUCGCCGACGAGAGCAGCGGUUAUACUUUAMSGKKRRKUARWAAYUUUAAGUUUGUAGUUAAAUGUUUAUAUUAAUGUUAUUAUAGUUAUUAAAAGGUAAAAUUAAAAUAUUAUUUUGUAAUAGAAAAAAUUGUAGUUGAAGCUAAUAAAAUUCAGUUAAAAACUAGGAUUAGAUACCCUAUUAUUCUGAAAAAAAUUAUUAAAACUAAAUUAGUAAAAGAUAAAUACUUAAAAUUUAAAAAAUUUGGCGGCAGUUUAAUCUUUUCAGAGGAACUUGUUUUAGAAUCGAUAAACCACGAAAAAUCUUACUUGUUUUUGUUGUGUUAGCAGUUUGUAUACCAUCAUUAUCAGAUAAUUCUUAAAGGAAACAAUUAUUAAAUUUAAUUGCUUAUAAAAAUUAGAUCAUGGUGCAGCUUAUAAACAAGGUAAAAUGAGUUACAAUAAAUUAUUUUAAUGCGGAUAUAUAAUUUAAUAUUAUUAAGAAGAAGGAUUUGAUUGUAUUUUUAGUUUAGUAAGCUAAAAGGAUAUAAGUUCUAAAUUGUGUACAUAUCGCCCGUCGCUYWYWUUURUAAGUGAGAUAAGUCGCAACAAAAAAAAGUAAAAA
Molecule: ribosomal RNA, 608 nt
Filed under: Brachyura sp. 10 KYKC-2019
Lineage: Eukaryota; Metazoa; Arthropoda; Malacostraca; Decapoda
Description: partial small subunit ribosomal RNA
Source: RNAcentral